GCCCGAGUAGCUCAGCAGGUAGAGCAUCUCGCUGUUAACGAGAGGGUCGCAGGUUCGAGUCCUGUCUCGGGCG
This 73-nucleotide transfer RNA is filed under the name Candidatus Aenigmatarchaeota archaeon. RNAcentral's name for it is "tRNA-Asn". It matches the Rfam family "tRNA". Rfam says of the family: Transfer RNA (tRNA) molecules are approximately 80 nucleotides in length. Their secondary structure includes four short double-helical elements and three loops (D, anti-codon, and T loops). Further hydrogen bonds mediate the characteristic L-shaped molecular structure. tRNAs have two regions of fundamental functional importance: the anti-codon, which is responsible for specific mRNA codon recognition, and the 3' end, to which the tRNAs corresponding amino acid is attached (by aminoacyl-tRNA synthetases). tRNAs cope with the degeneracy of the genetic code in two manners: having more than one tRNA (with a specific anti-codon) for a particular amino acid; and 'wobble' base-pairing, i.e. permitting non-standard base-pairing at the 3rd anti-codon position. The record is from RNAcentral. Lineage: Archaea; Nanobdellati; Candidatus Aenigmatarchaeota.